RNAcentral lists this long non-coding RNA (232 nucleotides) under Lathyrus oleraceus (garden pea). RNAcentral describes it as "Pisum sativum (pea) long non-coding RNA (PSAT_LNC036076)". The record is from RNAcentral. Lineage: Eukaryota; Viridiplantae; Streptophyta; Magnoliopsida; Fabales; Fabaceae.
CUUCCAGACAUCAGUAUUAUUAAUCUACGAUUCGUGUAGUUUAACAUGGUGUGCUCGUUAUAUUUUUCGAUGAAUUUUUCAGUCGCAUUUUGAUCCGUCUGAACCUUUUAACCGUUCAAAAAUCAUUUUAGAAUUAAAAGAAACGUUGUAUUUUUCCAAUAAGUUUAUUUCGCACUGAUCAUUUUAAUGCGUUCAAUUUAAUUUUUCGAGCAUAUUCGUUCCCGACUUUUAU